Long non-coding RNA from Triticum dicoccoides, 951 nucleotides. RefSeq lists it as uncharacterized. NCBI's taxonomy places the organism in Eukaryota, Viridiplantae, Streptophyta, Magnoliopsida, Poales, Poaceae. The transcript is spliced from 4 exons. The record is from RefSeq and is a predicted model, not a curated record.
UCUCUCCCCCUCCGCCGCCACCCCCUCGUCUUGUCACUCCUCCUAGACCGGCUCCUCUCUCGCUCCUCCUUGAUCCCCACCUAGAUUCGCUCCUCUCUCCCUCCUCUAUCCCCACCUAGAUUCGCUCCUCUCUCCCUUCUCCUCGAUGCUGAUUUUUUUAGAGCAAGCAGAUUGGAUCGAUGGUGACCGCAUGAGCAUGCCGCCGCCGCAUGGAAUUGCCUUGCCGCUGCGUGGAGUCGCUUUGUCGCUGCCGCCCGUUGCCACUUGCCAGCAAGGUGCACACACGCACCUAACAUCCAGGGAAGUCCACCAUCUGAACCACCACGACCAUCCCUCUUGGCUAGCACAAGCAGCGCCAUCGGCACUUCGGAAGUGAAGGCAAGCAGCCAAGAACUGUAGAAAAUCCUGAAUUUGUGUCUAUCUCAUGGACACCCAGGUUGAUAUACAGUUUUCUCAACACCCAGAUUUGUGGAGCCUGAUGUUGGACAAUUAGGAUGGGACUGCAGACCUUUAGAUUUUGGUGCUGAGAUUUGUGCGCCCCUCGCUACAUGUAAGCCACGUUUAUGAUGUUGAUCUUUCUGCUAUGGAUUGUAGUUUGGUUCCACUACUAGCGCCUUGAAGACUAAGGAUGGUGUUGUCCUGGCUGUGAGAAACGUAUCACCUCACCACUGCUGGUAUGAUUGCAUAGCGGGCUACUUGGUGCUGCCCAUCACAAUCUGCAUGACGUGAUAGAUAGCGUCCAUCAGGAGUGUCGACGGCAAGAACAUGAAUAACUACUUCAAUAGUUUAAAUGCAUAGUUUGUGUGAACUGGAUUCUACUAUUUCUUAAUUUUUUUCAGUGAUACUUUGUUAAGCUAUGUUGUAAAAUUACCAUUUUAUGGAGGUUUUUGUAAACUACUAUGUUGUAGAUACCUCUCGAUGGUUGAAUGAAACUUUGGAAAUACUUUUGUC